This 468-nucleotide ribosomal RNA is filed under the name uncultured bacterium. RNAcentral's name for it is "partial 16S ribosomal RNA". It matches the Rfam family "Bacterial small subunit ribosomal RNA", at positions 28 to 507 of the family's 1533-position model. The record is from RNAcentral.
GACGAACGCUGGUGGCGUGCUUAACACAUGCAAGUCGAACGGAAAGGCCCUGCUUUUGUGGGGUGCUCGAGUGGCGAACGGGUGAGUAGCACGUGAGUAACCUGCCCUUGACUUUGGGAUAACUUCAGGAAACUGGGGCUAAUACCGGAUAGGAGCUCCUGCUGCAUGGUGGGGGUUGGAAAGUUUCGGCGGUUGGGGAUGGACUCGCGGCUUAUCAGCUUGUUGGUGGGGUAGUGGCUUACCAAGGCUUUGACGGGUAGCCGGCCUGAGAGGGUGACCGGCCACAUUGGGACUGAGAUACGGCCCAGACUCCUACGGGAGGCAGCAGUGGGGAAUAUUGCACAAUGGGCGGAAGCCUGAUGCAGCAACGCCGCGUGCGGGAUGACGGCCUUCGGGUUGUAAACCGCUUUCGCCUGUGACGAAGCGUGAGCGACGGUAAUGGGUAAAGAAGCACCGGCUAACUACGUG